RNAcentral lists this ribosomal RNA (301 nucleotides) under uncultured bacterium. RNAcentral's name for it is "partial 16S ribosomal RNA". It matches the Rfam family "Bacterial small subunit ribosomal RNA", at positions 509 to 807 of the family's 1533-position model. The record is from RNAcentral.
CAGCCGCCACGGUAAAACGAAGGGUGCAAGCGUUACUCGGAAUUACUGGGCGUAAAGCGUGCGUAGGUGGUGGUUUAAGUCCGUUGUGAAAGCCCUGGGCUCAACCUGGGAAUUGCAGUGGAUACUGGGUCACUAGAGUGUGGUAGAGGAUAGUGGAAUUUCCGGUGUAGCAGUGAAAUGCGUAGAGAUCGGAAGGAAUAUCUGUGGCGAAGGCGACUAUCUGGGCCAACACUGACACUGAGGCACGAAAGCGUGGGGAGCAAACAGGAUUAGAUACCCCCGUAGUCCCUGUCUCUUAUAC